UGCCUACGGGGGGCAGCAGUGGGGAAUAUUGCACAAUGGGGGAAACCCUGAUGCAGCGACGCCGCGUGAGUGAAGAAGUAUCUCGGUAUGUAAAGCUCUAUCAGCAGGAAAGAUAAUGACGGUACCUGACUAAGAAGCCCCGGCUAACUACGUGCCAGCAGCCGCGGCAAUACGUAGGGGGCAAGCGUUAUCCGGAUUUACUGGGUGUAAAGGGAUCGUAGACGGCAGCGCACGUCUGGAGCGAAA
Molecule: ribosomal RNA, 246 nt
Filed under: uncultured bacterium
Lineage: Bacteria
Description: partial 16S ribosomal RNA
Rfam family: Bacterial small subunit ribosomal RNA
Source: RNAcentral